AAUACAUGCAAGUCGUGGGGCAGCAUGAGUAGCAAUACUUGAUGGCGACCGGCAAACGGGUGCGGAACACGUACACAACCUUCCGUCAAGCGGGGAAUAGCCCAGAGAAAUUUGGAUUAAUACCCCAUAAUAUAUUUGAUAAGGCAUCUUAUUAAUAUUAAAGCUUCGGCACUUGAUGAUGGGUGUGCGGCUGAUUAGAUAGUUGGUGAGGUAACGGCUCACCAAGUCUACGAUCAGUAGCUGAUGUGAGAGCAUGAUCGGCCACACGGGCACUGAGACACGGGCCCGACUCCUACGGGAGGCAGCAGUAAGGAAUAUUGGACAAUGGACGCAAGUCUGAUCCAGCCAUGCCGCGUGAAGGAUUAAGGUCCUCUGGAUUGUAAACUUCUUUUAUAGGGGACGAAAAAAGGGCAUUCUUGCUCACUUGACGGUACCCUAUGAAUAAGCACCGGCUAACUCCGUGCCAGCAGCCGCGGUAAUACGGAGGGUGCAAGCGUUAUCCGGAUUCACUGGGUUUAAAGGGUGCGUAGGCGGGUAGGUAAGUCAGUGGUGAAUCUCAGAGCUUAACUCUGAAACUGCCAUUGAUACUAUCUAUCUUGAAUAUUGUGGAGGUUUGCGGAAUAUGUCAUGUAGCGGUGAAAUGCUUAGAUA
Molecule: ribosomal RNA, 651 nt
Filed under: uncultured Saprospiraceae bacterium
Lineage: Bacteria; Pseudomonadati; Bacteroidota; Saprospiria; Saprospirales; Saprospiraceae
Description: bacterial SSU rRNA
Rfam family: Bacterial small subunit ribosomal RNA
Source: RNAcentral